GACGAACCACACGAACGUUAUUCGGAAUUACUGGGCUUAAAGGGUGCGUAGGCGGCGCGGACAGUUGGGUGUGAAAUCCCUCGGCUUAACCGAGGAACUGCGCCCAAAACUACCGUGCUCGAGGAAGAUAGAGGUGAGCGGAACUUACGGUGGAGCGGUGAAAUGCGUUGAUAUCGUAAGGAACACCUGUGGCGAAAGCGGCUCACUGGGUCUUUUCUGACGCAGAAGCACGAAAGCUAGGGGAGCAAACGGG
Molecule: ribosomal RNA, 253 nt
Filed under: uncultured bacterium
Lineage: Bacteria
Description: partial 16S ribosomal RNA
Rfam family: Bacterial small subunit ribosomal RNA
Source: RNAcentral